RNAcentral lists this ribosomal RNA (1554 nucleotides) under Salmonella enterica subsp. enterica serovar Bareilly. RNAcentral's name for it is "bacterial SSU rRNA". It matches the Rfam family "Bacterial small subunit ribosomal RNA". Lineage: Bacteria; Pseudomonadati; Pseudomonadota; Gammaproteobacteria; Enterobacterales; Enterobacteriaceae. The record is from RNAcentral.
UUAAAUUGAAGAGUUUGAUCAUGGCUCAGAUUGAACGCUGGCGGCAGGCCUAACACAUGCAAGUCGAACGGUAACAGGAAGCAGCUUGCUGCUUCGCUGACGAGUGGCGGACGGGUGAGUAAUGUCUGGGAAACUGCCUGAUGGAGGGGGAUAACUACUGGAAACGGUGGCUAAUACCGCAUAACGUCGCAAGACCAAAGAGGGGGACCUUCGGGCCUCUUGCCAUCAGAUGUGCCCAGAUGGGAUUAGCUAGUUGGUGAGGUAACGGCUCACCAAGGCGACGAUCCCUAGCUGGUCUGAGAGGAUGACCAGCCACACUGGAACUGAGACACGGUCCAGACUCCUACGGGAGGCAGCAGUGGGGAAUAUUGCACAAUGGGCGCAAGCCUGAUGCAGCCAUGCCGCGUGUAUGAAGAAGGCCUUCGGGUUGUAAAGUACUUUCAGCGGGGAGGAAGGUGUUGUGGUUAAUAACCGCAGCAAUUGACGUUACCCGCAGAAGAAGCACCGGCUAACUCCGUGCCAGCAGCCGCGGUAAUACGGAGGGUGCAAGCGUUAAUCGGAAUUACUGGGCGUAAAGCGCACGCAGGCGGUCUGUCAAGUCGGAUGUGAAAUCCCCGGGCUCAACCUGGGAACUGCAUUCGAAACUGGCAGGCUUGAGUCUUGUAGAGGGGGGUAGAAUUCCAGGUGUAGCGGUGAAAUGCGUAGAGAUCUGGAGGAAUACCGGUGGCGAAGGCGGCCCCCUGGACAAAGACUGACGCUCAGGUGCGAAAGCGUGGGGAGCAAACAGGAUUAGAUACCCUGGUAGUCCACGCCGUAAACGAUGUCUACUUGGAGGUUGUGCCCUUGAGGCGUGGCUUCCGGAGCUAACGCGUUAAGUAGACCGCCUGGGGAGUACGGCCGCAAGGUUAAAACUCAAAUGAAUUGACGGGGGCCCGCACAAGCGGUGGAGCAUGUGGUUUAAUUCGAUGCAACGCGAAGAACCUUACCUGGUCUUGACAUCCACAGAAGAAUCCAGAGAUGGAUUUGUGCCUUCGGGAACUGUGAGACAGGUGCUGCAUGGCUGUCGUCAGCUCGUGUUGUGAAAUGUUGGGUUAAGUCCCGCAACGAGCGCAACCCUUAUCCUUUGUUGCCAGCGGUCCGGCCGGGAACUCAAAGGAGACUGCCAGUGAUAAACUGGAGGAAGGUGGGGAUGACGUCAAGUCAUCAUGGCCCUUACGACCAGGGCUACACACGUGCUACAAUGGCGCAUACAAAGAGAAGCGACCUCGCGAGAGCAAGCGGACCUCAUAAAGUGCGUCGUAGUCCGGAUUGGAGUCUGCAACUCGACUCCAUGAAGUCGGAAUCGCUAGUAAUCGUGGAUCAGAAUGCCACGGUGAAUACGUUCCCGGGCCUUGUACACACCGCCCGUCACACCAUGGGAGUGGGUUGCAAAAGAAGUAGGUAGCUUAACCUUCGGGAGGGCGCUUACCACUUUGUGAUUCAUGACUGGGGUGAAGUCGUAACAAGGUAACCGUAGGGGAACCUGCGGUUGGAUCACCUCCUUACCUGAAAGAA